GAAGGGUGCCUCCACCACAUUUAUCUCCUUUUGUGGACAAUGAUGAAGUGGGUUAUACUCCUGAGUUUGAAGAGAAGAUCCUUAAGAGACUGCGAGCUGCUUCUAAAGACAAGGUGUUGCCCUUGCCUGGUUUAGGUGAUGAAGAUCAGGAUAAUUCGAUGGUAGAUGCGAGAUCAGAGUAUAAUGAAGUUGCUGAAAAGAAGAGGAAGUUGGACAUGCUAGAGAAACAAUACCACGAAGAGCUGAAGAUGGAAAUUGAGGGAGAGACUUUCUCUAAUUGGCAACAUCCAUGAACCUAAAUGUACAAGUAAUCUCCUGUUGAUUAAUUGGUGAGAACUAGCAAGAAAGCAAAAUUGCAUAUAGUGUUUAACAGUCAUUCUCCAGUUGACAGCAGCAGCAGCCUAAGAAAGAGUAUGUGUUAGCAGUUUGGUUAGCCUAGUAGAUAUAAAAAUUAAGGGAUUGCUAUAGACAGUUUAAGUUCAAAUGGAUUGCUAGAAAAGGAGUGCCGCUCUUCUUCCACCUCCUUCUAUUCUUCCUCUCUUACGUUGCUACAGCUCCGAGCGCUCCCUCUACCGCUGCCUCCUCUCCCCCUUCUCUCCGGCGGCUCUGCCGGCUAGAGAGGAAGGGGAGGGGAGGUCUGCCAUGGUCCUCUUGGUUUUAUGUAUAUUAUGGUAGUUGCCUUAGAGGCUUGUCUCUUUGGAUCUGCGCCGCCGGAUUUGAGGCUCCGGUGGUUGACUCGAAGAAGCUUGUUUGCCAUAGUUAUCAACGUCGAGAUCUCCAGCAAUGGUAACUCUGGUUUCAUUUCUUCCCCUGAUCCCCUCCUAAAUAACCGCCUCCUUUCAGAUUUGGGUGUUCCUAUGUUGUUCUUCUUCUUGAUAAAUAGCACCGGGUCUGUGAAGCCUCCGUUAUCCUUCAAGAUCCCUGUGUUUCUGUGUCACUUGAUCUUCUAGAACAGUAAAAAAAAUUCCAUUUUCUUUGGAGAUCUUCUUUAUUUCGCUCAGAUUUCCCCACCUUUGAGUCCAUGCUGGUUGGGAGGGGGGGCAUGGUUCUCUGUCACAUCUGCUGUCCUCUCUUCCUCUCUGUUUUGGUGAUGCUAUCUACUUUGAUUUCUUGCACUGGAGCAGGACCUGCCUUCGCCUUCGGAUCCGUUCUUUUGAUGGUCGAUGUCCCUCUCAACCUCCAGAUCGGAGGCGCGCUUGUCGGUUCAGGGAUGAGAUAUCAUUGGUGCGGGGACAGAGGACUUGCUAUGAACUCUGCUUGGUGGCUGCUGCCCAUUUCAGGGGCUAUGGUGCUCUUCUUGUGGCUGUUGAUGCAGGUGCUCAUCCAAGAUGUUUGGCGUCGUCAGCUCCUUCUUCCUCCGGAGUACACGGAGGCAUUUUGUUCCGGCAGUCUCCUCGCUAGCUGGUGGCGGAUGGUAGUUUGCCCGUCGAGGAUGGCGUGUGACUCAGUCGGCGGCUAGGUCGAUGCUGGGCACGUGUCAACCCGAAGUGUUUCUCUAGACACGUGGUCUUUGUUUGGCCGAAUGUUAGACGCGUGUCCUUGGGCAUGGUUGUAAUUUUUCCAUUUCUUUGUGUCCUACAAAUGUAUCGGGUUGUAAUCCGUGGGUUUUUUGGACCCACUUGCUAUUAAUACUAUGCAGGGAUCCUUUCAAAAAAAAUGUUAAUUAAUGAACUAGCGGAGACAAUCAUUACAGGAAAAAAAACUUUAUUUACACACUGAAAUGUUGGAAAUGAGCUGUAUACUACCUUACAUCGAUCAUAUAAUAACAUUUUGUGACAAACAUUUUUGUGAAAAUUUCCUUGUGCACUUUUACACAAAUAAAUUGCUAGUACCAACUACAAAUUUAAUGCAGAGAUAAAAAAUGUACGAAAAAAAACACUCUCAAAACUAACGCACCUUUGUUCUUAAAUUUAAAUGUGUUUAAACAGGGGCGGAGGCGACGACGAAGCCAUCGCCCUAUGUACGCUCGGUUGUAUCUACACCUAUCAUGGGUUAGAAGGAUUUAUAUCUUUCAAAAGAAUCUAAAAAUUUGUAUGCUGCUAGUACAUGUAAAUAUGAGAAUGCACGCAAGAAUUUAUAUAAAUUAAACUUGUAAUUUCUACUUUAUAAAAAAUAUAUGCUAUUUUUUUUUCAGAAACUCAGUAGAGAGGAGACACUCACAAUGGCAUGCACACUCACCCUGUUACCACAUGCGAGUGGAUUGGCAGAUCUUGAGGUUGAGGUGCCUUGCUGUUGUCAGUUACGUCACUUACCACUAAAAAAUAACGCUAAUGAAAUCCUGAUAAAUGCGAACACACAUGGCAAUUCUAAGAGUUGAACACGGUGGGAUUCUUCCACUGGAAACAACUUAACUAACUGAGCUAUAUAUCAAUUUUGGUAAACAUUGUUUUCAUGUAAUUUUACAUUUAUAUACAUGAUUAUCGUGCUUCCUGUGAGAAUUUCUGAAUAGCAAAAAUACAGAUAGAUAAGAUACGCUUUGCUCGUCUAGCUAGUGUGGGCAUAUCACGUCCCAUCAUAUAACUUACAAAUCUUGUAAUGAAACCAUCAUAUAACUUAACAUUUUGUGACAAACAUUUUUGCGAAAAUUUCCUUGUGAACUUACACAAAUAAAUUACUAGUACCAACUACAAAUGUUCAUGCAGAGAUAAAAAAAAAUGUACAGAAAAAAGCAUACUCUCAAUGCACCUAAUUUCUUAAAUUUAAAAAGUGUAUUUAAACAGGGGCAGGGGCGAGCCAUCGCCCAAUGUACGCUCGAUUGUAUUUACACCUAUCAUGGGUAGACGUAUUUACAUCUUUCAAAAGAAUCUAAAAAAUAGUAUGGUACUAGCAUAUGUAAACAUAAGAAUGCAUGCAAGAAUUUAUAUAAAUUAAACUUGUAAAUCCUACUUUAUAAAAAAGGAAAUUUAUGCUAUUUUGUAAAAAACACAGUAGAGAUGGGGACGCUCACAAUAAGCAUGCACGUUCUGCCCUGUGAGCACAUCCAAGUGGGUUGGUAGAUCUUGAGAUUGAGGCGCCUCGCUGUUGUGUCGUUUACCACUGGAAGAAUAAACCCAACUAAAUCUUGAAUUAAAUCCAGAUAAAUGCAAACACACAUGCCAAGUCUAAGAAUUGAGCCCAAGUAAGAUUGUUCCGCUGCAAAGAACCUAACCAACUGACCUAUAUAUCAAUUUUGGCAAACAUCAUUUUCAUGUAAUUUUUACAUUAUAUAAAUUAUUAUCGUGGUUCUUUUGAGAAUUUAUGAAUAGCAAAAAUACAAAUAGAUAUAGAUUAGCUUUACUCGUCUAGCUAGCGUGGGCAUAUCACGUCCCAUCGAUCACAGAAUGCCCGAGAGAAUCUACCGAUGACCCGAUCUGACCUAACAUGGGAAGGAUUUACAUCUUUCAAAAGAAUCUAAAAAUUUGUAUGCUACUAGUACAUGUAAAUAUAAGAACGCACGCAGGAAUUUAUAUAACUUAAACUUGUAAUUUCUACUUUAUGAAAAAAAUAUGCUAUAUUUUUAGAAACACAGUAAAGAGGAGACACUCACAGUGGCAUGCACACUCAACCUGUUACCAGAUGCGAGUGGGUUGGCAGAUCUUGAGGCUGAGGCGCCUUCGUUGUCGUCAGUACACAUUGAAGGGGCGCGUAGAGAUAAACAAAACUUUUCCUACGCGAACUCCCAAGAUCUAGCCGAGGUAGAAGGCCACGAGGAUUACCACUAGACGCGCAGUUGCGGAUUAUCGAUGCGGCGUCUUGAUGCAGUGCAGUCCCUCGAUCCGAUCCAGCCGAUCCAAUCCCGCGAUCGUCGAAGUGCUGAACGUACAGCACCUCUGCCGGUAUCCACACGUGCGAGGAGGAGCUCCGGCGGCGGACUGCUAGGUCCGGUGCGACGGUUGAACUGAAUCGGGCUAGGGUUCUCAACGCAUGAGAGUGGAAAAACCGUACCCCUUAGGCAUCCCACGCCCCUGCUUAUAUAUCGAGUGGAAGUAGGCUCCAAGCCUUGUGGCCCAUCCACCCUGCGAGUCCAACUCGCAUUGUCAGCCCAAUUCCAGUUCGGGUCCAACCCGACCAAAUACUUGCUCCCGCUCUUAAGUGUGUGACCCCACAGGCUCAUGGUGACUUGGACACGAUUGGAGUCCGACUCACAAUCGAUCAAUCGGUAGCGGCUCCUAGCAGAACGUGCCGACUCCCAAGUACCAUCGAGUCAUGACGACGUACCUUCCAAUGUGACAUACGUCUUAGUCCCUUUUGCCUCACGAUAUACCUUGUCGAACUAUAGGCGAUUAAUCGUCAUCCCUUUAAUAGUUCAACUCUCUUCUCGAUCUGUGAUAUACGAUUCAUCCGACUAACUCUUAGUCGAUCGACCCGGUUAACAGUUAACCAAGUCGCGCAUGGCCAUGCUUCCCGAAUCAUAUCACUCGAGAGGGCCCAGAGAAUAUCUCUCCAGUCGGAGGGGCAAAAUCCCAUCUUGGUUAUCCACAUCACACAGCUUGAUUCUCAGUCAACCCGAACUCUGCCUUUAUAACUGCCCUGUUACGGAACAACGUUUGACAGAACCUAAGUUGGUGAUCCACAACUCGGAUUGUGCGAUAACCUCAGGUCUAAGGAUUACAUUGAUUGAGACAUGCAAAUGACGACCUACUCGUUGCAUCUCAAUAUGGGUCAGUCCGACUCGCUAAACUCUUUAGCCGAGUCCGUGUAAACUGGAAUGACAUCACCAUGCCCAUGACAAGUGGAACCGAGUCAUCAGCCAACUUUCACAUUAGUCUAGGUUAUGUGUCCAGCACAACCUCAAUGACUAAGGACAAUUUAGUAUGAACAACAUGAAUACAUAGUUCCACAAUCAAAUCACAUAUUCAAUGAUACAUAUCAGAUGUUCAAACAAGGACAACUUAAUAAUAUUUAUGAAUACAUUGGGAAUUACAUCAUACAUGAUUGCCUCUAGGGCAUAUUCCCAACACACAUGCGCCUUCGUUGUCGUCAGUACACAUGGCAAUUCUAAGAGUUGAACACGGUGGGAUUCUUCCACUGGAAACAACUCAGCUAACUGAGCUGUAUACUCCCUCCGUCCAACAAAAAAUGUUUCAAGUUUGUUAAAAUUUAGAUGUAUCUAAUGUGUAGAUGCAUUUAAAUUUGGUCAAACUUGAGACAUACUUUGUUGGACGGAGGGAGUAUCAAUUUUGGCAAACAUUGUUUUCAUGUAAUUUCACAUUUAUAUAUAUGAUUAUCGUGGUUCCUCUGAGAAUUUCGGAAUAGCAAAAAAUACAGAUAGAUAAAGAUAAGCUUUGCUCGUCUAGCUAGCGUGGGCAUAUCACGUCCCAUCGAUCAUCAGCCAUUAAUCCUCGAGAGCACCAAAAUAAAAACAGAAUUUCCGAGAGCAUCUCCCGAUGACCCGAUCUGACCUGACCAGCCAGCCAGCCAGCCGCGUGAUUCGCCACGGCGGCAAAGCGAAUCUCCCCUGGACGCGACGUAUUUGACCUCUCGCCCCGAUCGAUCCCGAUGGCUCCGUCGUCGUAGUACAUCGCCCUCGCCCUUUCCGGCCCCUGGAUUAAUGGCGAACCGCGGGCGACACGGGCACGCGCGCUCUGCAGUGCCCGCAGCACGAACGUACUAGUACAACGUCGCCAAAGGGAGAAAUUACAAGCUACCCCCCGUUGUACUAUCAUCAGCUGCCCAGCGCGACGUACAGCGCGAAUGACACAAUAUUCGCUGGGGCACUACGGUAUUCCCCGGGGUCACUCCGACUCGACGUCGUGCCGGCCGCCCCGUUGGCCGUUGGCAGUGGAGCCGCGUCCCCUCGGGGCCGGCUGUGCGCAACAAACAAAACCCAAUCCAAUCCGCGCGCCGGGCACUUUGCCACUUCUUCCCCCUUCCCUUCCUUAUCUGCUGCGCCGGAAGAAGAGAUAUUUACGUUAGUCUCCGGAGCACCGCACGCACGUAUCUGUGGUAAGCUUCCAAGGGCCUCUGGUGCUCUGGUGAUUGAGCACCUGAGGUUGG
Molecule: long non-coding RNA, 5976 nt
Filed under: Brachypodium distachyon (stiff brome)
Lineage: Eukaryota; Viridiplantae; Streptophyta; Magnoliopsida; Poales; Poaceae
Description: long non-coding RNA (BDIS_LNC003705)
Rfam family: MIR1120/MIR1122 microRNA precursor family (bases 5033-5157)
Source: RNAcentral